UACGAAGGGGGCUAGCGUUGUUCGGAAUCACUGGGCGUAAAGGGCGCGUAGGCGGCUUUAUAAGUCGGGGGUGAAAGCCUGUGGCUCAACCACAGAAUUGCCUUCGAUACUGUAGAGCUCGAGACCGGAAGAGGUAAGUGGAACUGCGAGUGUAGAGGUGAAAUUCGUAGAUAUUCGCAAGAACACCGGUGGCGAAGGCGGCCAACUGGUCCGGUUCUGACGCUGAGGCGCGAAAGCGUGGGGAGCAAACAGG
This 253-nucleotide ribosomal RNA is filed under the name uncultured bacterium. RNAcentral's name for it is "partial 16S ribosomal RNA". It matches the Rfam family "Bacterial small subunit ribosomal RNA", at positions 524 to 776 of the family's 1533-position model. The record is from RNAcentral.